UCCUAGUAAACUUGGAUCACUAUGGAUCUUUCUGUUUUUUCCUUCUUUUAUAAAAAAUGAAAGAAAAAGAAACACAUGUUUUAGGUGUAAUUUUUCUACACUAACAUAAAUAUAGAUAAUAUUUGUUAAUGGUUAUGCUUACACUAUGGAAGAAUUAGAAAAAUGUUGAAGUCACCCUUUAUUCACACACACACACACGUGUGUGUGUCUAUAUAUAUAUAUAUAUAUAUAGGUUGACUAAUUUAAAUUAAGGAAGUUAUUAUAUUAUUAAUCUUUUAGGUGUAAUAAAGAAAGAGAAGGAGAUCAAUACCAAAGCUUCAAAUAUUAUCUAUAUAUAUGUUAGUGUAAUACAUAUCAGUCACAACUGAUAUUAGUGAAAAACAACAAACACAAUGUAUUUGUAGUAUAUAUGGUAACCAAGUUUACAUAAGCUUGCACAUAUAUAAAUUACUAUAGAUAAAUAGCUCAUCUCAUGUAUGCUAUAUAGUCCAGCAUGCAUUCAUCACAUAAGCUCAAGUAUUCCUCAUUUGUUGUAUAACAAUUUCUAUUGACAAAUCAAUUAUGCGGCGGGAGCUAGAUCGAUACCACCAUCAUCGUCAUCGUCAUCAUCAUCGUCAGCUUCAUUCUGGAUGCGAAAUCCAGUUUCUACCCAGUCAUUGCUCAAGACAAACAAAGGCAAACCUGAUUUUGUGCAAGUUAAAACAACCAUUGUGUAUUCUAAGGUGAGUAUUCUAAUACAAAUUACACUAGUUGUGAACUGCUGUGUGGUUGACUUAACUCCCCCAACCCUACUUAUUUAUACCCAUAAAAUAUUCUGUUUUAAUAUUAUAAAAAAAUAAAUUUGAAAGAAAGAAUAUUAUAAAUUUAUAUUCUUUGAAUUUACAGUUUUUUUAUUAAUAUUUAUGAACCAGAUGAGAGAGAAAAUGGAUAUUUUUUUGGUUUUCUUUUGAUUUUUACCUUAUAGAUUAGUAUAAAAAAAUUGGGUGCUUCUAAUAUAAACCUAUAAAAAGGAUUUAAAUUUGAACUCUUGCCUUUUAUAGAAAAUUAUAAUAAAAUAUUACAUCUCUUCCUUUUUGUUAUUAAUAUUAUUAUUAUUAUUAUUAUUAUUAGCAGAAAGACGAACUCAUUUGUCCGUCUUUCCGCUCUUUUUAUUACGCUAAUGCGUGUUGAUUAUCAACGAUAUUUUAUAGAAAUUUUGCGUGUAAAUUACAAACAAUAUUUAUAGAAUUUUUUUCCUGAAAUAUUAUAAGUAUAAAUAUUUGUGACUUUCAAAUGUAACAAAUUCAACAAACCAUAUUUAUUUUUUCAAUGACAAAAAUAAUAUAAUAAAUCUAACAAAAAUUCCUAUCUUUGUUAAUUACACCAACAUUGUAACAUUAUUAAAGGAAAAUUUAUUUAAGGGUAUAAUUAAAAUAAUAAAAAAUUCAGCUCGAAAUCCCGCCAAAAUAUCCUAUUUUCUUUAUGUAUAGUUUAGAUUAUUAUUAACUUUUUUUUACUAAAAAUUGUAAUUCCACCUUUAAAUUUUUCGAGAGGUAUAUAUUAGACAGACCUAAAAUAAUUGAAAAAUGGAAUUAUUCAUUAGUAACCAAAAUUGUAAGAUAAUAUUAAAAUAAUUUAUCAUCAAUAUAAUUGUAAUAUCUUUUAUUUUUUAUUUUAAUGUAUAUUACGUUUAAUAUUGAUUCCAUACAUAUUCUAUAAAACUUGCACAUGCAAGAAUUGUUUCAAAUUAUGAUUGAAACAAUUUUUGACUAGACUAUAUUUUCGAACAAACUCCGAAGCAUAUAUUAGGGUCUUCUUCCUAGACAAUCCAAUAAAAAAAUAAACAACCAGUUCUUUAGGAUUUGAUUAUUAUAACUUUGUUUUGCUUCUUUAAGCACUUCUUGUGUUAGGGAGUAGAAUUGUUUCUCUUGUGUUUAUAUAUCUCAUUUUGGCUUGUUUAAAAAAAUAAAAAUAAACGCAUGUAUAUGAAUAAUACAUUUAUGAUGUAUAUACUAUUUACUUACAAAAUCUAGAAUUACAGCCCAUUAAUUAUAGUUUCAUAUAUUAAGCUAUAUAUUUUUCAAUAAAUAUAGAUUGUUAAUUCUCAAUUUCAGAUAUGCAAACCUAGUUGGGAUCGUUGAAUCUAUUGUGAUACUUUUGUACACCAAUUUGCUUUUAAAAUCAAUUCUUGAUGCUUACAAAAGAGGG
This 2187-nucleotide long non-coding RNA is filed under the name Medicago truncatula (barrel medic). Its description in RNAcentral is "long non-coding RNA (MTRU_LNC000531)". The record is from RNAcentral. Lineage: Eukaryota; Viridiplantae; Streptophyta; Magnoliopsida; Fabales; Fabaceae.